This 459-nucleotide ribosomal RNA is filed under the name uncultured bacterium. RNAcentral's name for it is "partial 16S ribosomal RNA". It matches the Rfam family "Bacterial small subunit ribosomal RNA", at positions 338 to 795 of the family's 1533-position model. The record is from RNAcentral.
CCUACGGGCGGCAGCAGUGAGGAAUAUUGGUCAAUGGGCGGGAGCCUGAACCAGCCAAGUCGCGUGAGGGACGACGGUCCUAUGGAUUGUAAACCUCUUUUGUCGGGGAACAAAGGCGCCCACGGGUGGGCGGAUGAGUGUACCCGUAGAAAAAGCAUCGGCUAACUCCGUGCCAGCAGCCGCGGUAAUACGGAGGAUGCGAGCGUUCUCCGGAUUUAUUGGGUUAAAGGGGUGCGUAGGCGGACAGUCAAGUCAGCGGUAAAAAGGCGGGUCUAAACGCGGUACAGCCGUUGAAACGGGCAGUCUUGAGUGGGCGAGAGGUAUGCGGAAUGCGUGGUGUAGCGGUGAAAUGCGUAGAUAUCACGCAGAACUCCGAUUGCGAAGGCAGCAUACCGGCGCCCGACUGACGCUGAGGCACGAAAGCGUGGGUAUCGAACAGGAUUAGAUACCCCUGUAGUC